UACGGAGGAUGGGAGCGUUAUCCGGAUUUAUUGGGUUUAAAGGGUGCGCAGGCGGAGGUGCAAGUCAGCGGUCAAAUUGCGGGGCUCAACCCCGUACUGCCGUUGAAACUGCAUCCCUUGAGUGCGCGAGAAGUAUGCGGAAUGCGUGGUGUAGCGGUGAAAUGCAUAGAUAUCACGCAGAACUCCGAUUGCGAAGGCAGCAUACCGGCGCGCAACUGACGCUCAUGCACGAAAGCGUGGGUAUCGAACAGG
RNAcentral lists this ribosomal RNA (252 nucleotides) under uncultured bacterium. RNAcentral describes it as "partial 16S ribosomal RNA". It matches the Rfam family "Bacterial small subunit ribosomal RNA", at positions 524 to 776 of the family's 1533-position model. The record is from RNAcentral.